CCUACGGGAGGCAGCAGUGGGGAAUAUUGCACAAUGGGGGAAACCCUGAUGCAGCGACGCCGCGUGAGUGAAGAAGUAUUUCGGUAUGUAAAGCUCUAUCAGCAGGAACGAGACAAGACGGUACCUGACUAAGAAGCCCCGGCUAACUACGUGCCAGCAGCCGCGGUACUAUGUAGGGGGCAAGCGUUAUCCGGAAUCACUGGGUGUAAAGGGAGCGUAGACGGCUGAGCAAGCCUGAAGUGAAAGGCGGGGUCCCAACCCCCGGACUUCUUUGGGAACUGUACGGCUGGAGUGCAGGAGAGGUAAGUGGAAUUCCUAGUGUAGCGGUGAAAGGCGUAGAUAUUAGGAGGAACACCAGUGGCGAAGGCGGCUUACUGGACUGUAACUGACGCUGAUGCGCGAAAGCGUGGGGAGCAAACAGGAUUAGAUACCCGAGUAGUC
Molecule: ribosomal RNA, 441 nt
Filed under: uncultured bacterium
Lineage: Bacteria
Description: partial 16S ribosomal RNA
Rfam family: Bacterial small subunit ribosomal RNA
Source: RNAcentral